This 70-nucleotide transfer RNA is filed under the name Sylvia borin (garden warbler). RNAcentral's name for it is "tRNA-Glu". It matches the Rfam family "tRNA". Rfam says of the family: Transfer RNA (tRNA) molecules are approximately 80 nucleotides in length. Their secondary structure includes four short double-helical elements and three loops (D, anti-codon, and T loops). Further hydrogen bonds mediate the characteristic L-shaped molecular structure. tRNAs have two regions of fundamental functional importance: the anti-codon, which is responsible for specific mRNA codon recognition, and the 3' end, to which the tRNAs corresponding amino acid is attached (by aminoacyl-tRNA synthetases). tRNAs cope with the degeneracy of the genetic code in two manners: having more than one tRNA (with a specific anti-codon) for a particular amino acid; and 'wobble' base-pairing, i.e. permitting non-standard base-pairing at the 3rd anti-codon position. The record is from RNAcentral. Lineage: Eukaryota; Metazoa; Chordata; Aves; Passeriformes; Sylviidae.
GUUCUUGUAGUUAAAUUUAUAACGACAGUUUUUCAGGCUGUAGAUCUUAGAGAGAGGCUGAGCAAGAACU